This is a long non-coding RNA of Suricata suricatta (meerkat), 184 nucleotides long. RefSeq lists it as uncharacterized. NCBI's taxonomy places the organism in Eukaryota, Metazoa, Chordata, Mammalia, Carnivora, Herpestidae. The transcript has 2 exons. The record is from RefSeq and is a predicted model, not a curated record.
UCCAAGUCCAGCACAGAGCCCACUGCGAGGCUCAAUAAUCACGACCCUGAGAGCAAGACCAGAGCUGAGAUCAAGUGUCAGAUGCUUAACCACCUGAGCCACCCAGGCAUACCUCACAGAUACUGGGAUUUGAUUCCAGAACACUGCAAUAGACUAAAUAUCACAAUAAAGUGAGUCAAGUGAA